Molecule: long non-coding RNA, 172 nt
Organism: Dermochelys coriacea (leatherback sea turtle)
Lineage: Eukaryota; Metazoa; Chordata; Testudines; Dermochelyidae
Exons: 3
Source: RefSeq, a predicted model, not a curated record
AACAAUAAUAAUGUGGGAUUUCAACUAUCCCCAUAUUGACUGGGUACACGUCACCUCAGGAUAGGAUGCAGAGAAAGUUUUUUGACACCUUAAAUGACUGCUUCUUGGAGCAGCUAGUCCUGAAAUUUACAAGAGGAGAGGCAAUUCUUGAUUUAGUCCUAAAUGGAACACA